Molecule: ribosomal RNA, 559 nt
Filed under: uncultured bacterium
Lineage: Bacteria
Description: bacterial SSU rRNA
Rfam family: Bacterial small subunit ribosomal RNA
Source: RNAcentral
GGGGAUCUGCCCGAUAGAGGGGGAUAACCACUGGAAACGGUGGCUAAUACCGCAUAACGUCGCAAGACCAAAGAGGGGGACCUUCGGGCCUCUCACUAUCGGAUGAACCCAGAUGGGAUUAGCUAGUAGGCGGGGUAAUGGCCCACCUAGGCGACGAUCCCUAGCUGGUCUGAGAGGAUGACCAGCCACACUGGAACUGAGACACGGUCCAGACUCCUACGGGAGGCAGCAGUGGGGAAUAUUGCACAAUGGGCGCAAGCCUGAUGCAGCCAUGCCGCGUGUAUGAAGAAGGCCUUCGGGUUGUAAAGUACUUUCAGCGGGGAGGAAGGCGAUGUGGUUAAUAACCGCGUCGAUUGACGUUACCCGCAGAAGAAGCACCGGCUAACUCCGUGCCAGCAGCCGCGGUAAUACGGAGGGUGCAAGCGUUAAUCGGAAUUACUGGGCGUAAAGCGCACGCAGGCGGUCUGUUAAGUCAGAUGUGAAAUCCCCGGGCUUAACCUGGGAACUGCAUUUGAAACUGGCAGGCUUGAGUCUCGUAGAGGGGGGUAGAAUUCCAGGU